This 291-nucleotide long non-coding RNA is filed under the name Brachypodium distachyon (stiff brome). RNAcentral describes it as "long non-coding RNA (BDIS_LNC003395)". The record is from RNAcentral. Lineage: Eukaryota; Viridiplantae; Streptophyta; Magnoliopsida; Poales; Poaceae.
CCAUUCUAGUAUUUUGCGCCAACUAGCAUGCUGUAUAAGCAAGGAUUCGACUCCUAAGCAGGGGUCACGAGCUCCGUCAAGGACAACUGGCAGCUUCACACAUCAGAAAUCCUGGUGUCUCAGGUACCUGAUUGUAGCUCACGAUUGAUUCCCCGUCUCAAUGUCUCGAUUCACAUUAUCUGAUCGCUGUGCAGGAGAUGAGUCGCCCUGUAUACAGCAAGCGGGUGAACCAGCCUACAGAGUAAUUCAACAAGGGCAUAGGUGCAUAGUGUCAGAAUACUACAGCUCAUC